CGGAGGCGGGGCGAGGUCAGGUGGUGGUGGGUGGUCGCGGCAGGGAGGGAGGCGUGUGGUUGUGGGAGGGGGAGUGGAUCGGUCGAUGGAGACAGCGGCGCGCGCGCCUCCCGGCAUUAGCGGAACGGGAAGAAGGGGGUUAGGGGUGGAUUGGGGGAGGCUGGGGGCUAAGCGGCUCGCGCGGAGGCGUCGGGAAGGUGGGCUGGUGCGGCGGCGGGGGCUCCUUGAGGGUAGGGGUGGCGUCGGGCCGGGCAGGGCGGGGAUGACCUGACCGCGCCUCGCCUCCUCUAGACGGGGCUGGAGCCAAGGGAGGAGGAUGACACCCCGUAUUUGAUCGUGCUGGUUGUCUACCCAUCGAUGACUAACUUCGAGCUGGUAAACUACACUUGUAAAACGUAAGGAAGUCACGAAUUCUACCGCCAACCUGAUUGUAGGGUCGACAAGGUUCCUCAGUGACGAUGGUUGUCUAAGCCGGUUUGGUUGUUAAAGACACCUCAUGUUGCUUAUCGACCACACCUCUACGCUGCAAGAGGGGGUAGGUGAAGUAAAGGAAGUGAACGAAUACCCGUUCUAAGGAACCACGUAUUGAGCAGGCCCUCCUUGAUGUACGGGUACGAAAUACACGGAAUAUCUAUAGCCCGGAACGCACAAUCUAGAAAACAGAACGGUCAACGAAACUUCCUUUAAGGAAACCACUUCUCACGCAGUAAUCAUAACUGAUCCAGUACGCUGUGAAAUGAACGUUUAGGUCGAUGACGUGAGCACCAUGGACGUUAACCUUAUUAACAUAAACGAGAUACCCCAAAAAACGGAGAUCACUUCCUGUAGUCUUUGGCAAAACUAGUACCUCCAUUGACCUUUUUCUCGGGAUGUAUGGAUUAAAGAUCAAGGAUGGAAGUUGGAAAUGAGGAAACCUGUCCCCGUUGUGAAUAGACGUCCCCAAACCUAGGUCAGCACAACGGAAGUCGUCGUUCGGUUCGACAAUUUUGCGCGGAAAACUGAAAACACUCUAGGAAUAGCUGGCAGGACCGAUGACGUAUAUAAUACUGUUCGAACUAAGUCGUCCAUGUCUUUAAAGAUCACCUGUAUGCUUCGGGGUCACUAUGUGCUCGAUACCCCAACCUAAAAUGGUACUCUCGACAAAUGUGACCAUAGACCUAACGACGACAAAGAGAGAAAUACCUCAACGACCCAAAGUUAUGGGUCUUCACCUAUUGACGACCUCCAAAGCCCUGUCAUAACGAAUGCGAACGACCAGCACUCUAAAAAUGUUUAAAGGAGAGUUCACAAUACUAGUUACGGUGGGCGGGUAAACAUCACUCACUUACCUAGUUACGUUUCUAUCUACCACAACUCCAUAGACCAUAACAACUCGUACAACCGGACACCAGUGGUUGUUAGUAAUCUCCGCUACUGUCUCUUCGAUAUAUGUAGGGAUUAGUAUUUAAGUGUUACAGAUAUAACUCCUUAUUGUGAGCCUCUUUGGUAACCGCAUAAUUCUGUAUAGAACGAUAUUCGGUGUACCUGCGACCUUUUUAACCAUAUUAACAACGUCUGUACUCCUUUCACAACCGGUUCUUAGUAGUAUAACUUGUUGUCUUCAACGUAUCCUCUCAUAAGAAACUUUUUUAACUAGGCUUUUGAGUUCGAGAAUACUAUAUGUAUAGGACGAAACACUUCUGUAGCGUAAAACUUCUCAUAGAUUUACAGGUCCUUCGACAAUACAACCUAGAAGAAUGUUAUCAACCCGUGGUGUCCCGUUCCGAACGGUGCGUCUAGGCUUGUCAAGUCUUUAGUAUACCGUUGCGUCUGUAACUGUUGUAAGGAAAACCUCUCCUAUGUAUAUCAGGAGCACGUGCACCGGCAGGUGAGGACUAGCUAUGAAGACGUUCCUAGUCACUGCUGUUCUUUGGAGGAGCUGGUCACCAUCGUGCACUUCUAGUCUUUCGUUUCCACCGGUCACAUAGUCGCCAUCUCUGCUUCAGUCUACGUGGACUACCAAGAUCAAAUUUGUUGAGCCUCUUCGUCCUCCUCUUUUUCAACCAAGGUCUGCUACGACCCAACUUCUUCCUAGUACACUUUUGUUGUUAUGGUAGAGGGUGUUGAGGUACCCGUCUAGGACAACGCAGAUGAUGAAGGUUCUGACUACUUCCCUUCCGAGUUCCUAGUCUUCCUGUUCCCCUACCAAGAAGUCAACGAUGCGGUUUCUUCCUUAGAUCAUCUGGACGGAAACUUCUGUUGUAACAAGAACCACAUCGAGAGCUCCCGAGCUUCUCCUGUGAGGGUUAGCUACUUCCUUACUUGGGAGUAGAUAGCGAUAGACUUGGACUCGUUCUGCGACCAAGCAGCGGAUUCUUCUUUCCAGUUUCGAUGAGUGAAAGUCCGGUUCUCUUCCGCCUGAUCUGUCCGUAGCUAGCGACAGUCCGAACACUGCAGUGUUCUCUUUAUAAGACAUGUAUACCACGUAGACGACCGACAUUGCUAGAAGAUCUAUUUCAACUAAAUACAACCAAGAACCACCAGAUCCACCUAAGAACACUAUAACCUUAGUACAAGGCGACGGUAGUCGAUGUCUGACUGACUUUACGAGACGAACUACGUCUCGCUCACACAUUUCCCGUAAAGCUUUGGUGAACUGUACGUUUAUCGUAGGCUUAACCCACCAGUACAUCAUGUACCUACGACACUACCUACUAGCUAAAGUUCUAAAAAAACUCUUCUGUAUGUAAAUGUA
This 2734-nucleotide ribosomal RNA is filed under the name Triticum aestivum (bread wheat). Its description in RNAcentral is "partial small subunit ribosomal RNA". The record is from RNAcentral. Lineage: Eukaryota; Viridiplantae; Streptophyta; Magnoliopsida; Poales; Poaceae.